This 492-nucleotide ribosomal RNA is filed under the name uncultured bacterium. RNAcentral describes it as "bacterial SSU rRNA". It matches the Rfam family "Bacterial small subunit ribosomal RNA", at positions 903 to 1397 of the family's 1533-position model. The record is from RNAcentral.
AAAUGAAUUGACGGGGACCCGCACAAGCAGCGGAGCAUGUGGUUUAAUUCGACGCAACGCGAAGAACCUUACCAAGGCUUGACAUCCUCUGACAGGUGUGGAAACACACUUUCCCUUCGGGGCAGAGAGACAGGUGGUGCAUGGUUGUCGUCAGCUCGUGUCGUGAGAUGUUCGGUUAAGUCCGGCAACGAGCGCAACCCUUAUGAACAGUUGCCAAUAUUAAGUUAGGAACUCUGUUCAGACUGCCGUGGAUUAACACGGAGGAAGGUGGGGAUGACGUCAAAUCAUCAUGCCCCUUACGCCUUGGGCUACACACGUGCUACAAUGGGCAUUACAAAGAGCAGCAAACUGGUAACAGUAAGCGAAUCUCAAAAAGGUGCCCUCAGUUCAGAUUGUGGGCUGCAACCCGCCCACAUGAAGAAGGAGUUGCUAGUAAUUCCGAAUCAGAACGUCGGGGUGAAUGCGUUCCCGGGUCUUGUACACACCGCCCGU